RNAcentral lists this long non-coding RNA (427 nucleotides) under Vigna radiata. Its description in RNAcentral is "long non-coding RNA (VRAD_LNC004097)". The record is from RNAcentral. Lineage: Eukaryota; Viridiplantae; Streptophyta; Magnoliopsida; Fabales; Fabaceae.
ACAACGCUUCAGGCCUUCAAAUUUAUCUCAGAGAUGGAAGCUGGAUUCCAGUCCCACCUGAUCACAACUCCUUCUUCAUCAACGUUGGAGAUUCUCUUCAGGUACAACACAAAGCAAUGUUAUUGGUGCACACCAAAAAGUUCAACGAGCAAAAUGAAAAUGAAAAAUCCCAUCUUUUUUAUUACCUUCGUAUUUAUAUGGACAAGUGGAAAAAACCCAUCUUUUUUAUACAAAUUUCCCUUUUGGGUGCCUUUUUGAAAAUGUGUGUGACUUGUUAAUUGUUUACAUUUCCAUUUGGUCUUCAAACUCCCUCCCCUUUCCAGAACACCAUGGAGAAAAAUUCAAAAAGGAAAUAAGAAAGGAGAAGCAAAAAGUUUUGCUUUCACGUUUAUGUCAGUAUGGAAUAGUAUUAUAUUGAAAAGGGGUU